UUCGCAAUGCCCGAAAGGGUGACGAAGCGACGCCGCGUGGAUGAAGAAGGCCUUCGGGUUGUAAAAUCCUGUCAGGAGUUAAGAAAUGUAGGUGCGAUAAUACCGUGCUUAUUUGACAAAGGCUCCAAAGGAAGCCACGGCUAACUCUGUGCCAGCAGCCGCGGUAAUACAGAGGUGG
Molecule: ribosomal RNA, 178 nt
Filed under: uncultured Candidatus Scalindua sp.
Lineage: Bacteria; Pseudomonadati; Planctomycetota; Candidatus Brocadiia; Candidatus Brocadiales; Candidatus Scalinduaceae
Description: partial 16S ribosomal RNA
Rfam family: Bacterial small subunit ribosomal RNA
Source: RNAcentral